Molecule: ribosomal RNA, 1210 nt
Filed under: Salmonella enterica
Lineage: Bacteria; Pseudomonadati; Pseudomonadota; Gammaproteobacteria; Enterobacterales; Enterobacteriaceae
Description: bacterial SSU rRNA
Rfam family: Bacterial small subunit ribosomal RNA
Source: RNAcentral
AAAUUGAAGAGUUUGAUCAUGGCUCAGAUUGAACGCUGGCGGCAGGCCUAACACAUGCAAGUCGAACGGUAGCACAGAGAGCUUGCUCUCGGGUGACGAGUGGCGGACGGGUGAGUAAUGUCUGGGAAACUGCCUGAUGGAGGGGGAUAACUACUGGAAACGGUGGCUAAUACCGCAUAACGUCGAAAGACCAAAGAGGGGGACCUUCGGGCCUCUUGCCAUCAGAUGUGCCCAGAUGGGAUUAGCUUGUUGGUGAGGUAACGGCUCACCAAGGCGACGAUCCCUAGCUGGUCUGAGAGGAUGACCAGCCACACUGGAACUGAGACACGGUCCAGACUCCUACGGGAGGCAGCAGUGGGGAAUAUUGCACAAUGGGCGCAAGCCUGAUGCAGCCAUGCCGCGUGUAUGAAGAAGGCCUUCGGGUUGUAAAGUACUUUCAGCGGGGAGGAAGGUGUUGUGGUUAAUAACCGCAGCAAUUGACGUUACCCGCAGAAGAAGCACCGGCUAACUCCGUGCCAGCAGCCGCGGUAAUACGGAGGGUGCAAGCGUUAAUCGGAAUUACUGGGCGUAAAGCGCACGCAGGCGGUCUGUCAAGUCGGAUGUGAAAUCCCCGGGCUCAACCUGGGAACUGCAUUCGAAACUGGCAGGCUUGAGUCUUGUAGAGGGGGGUAGAAUUCCAGGUGUAGCGGUGAAAUGCGUAGAGAUCUGGAGGAAUACCGGUGGCGAAGGCGGCCCCCUGGACAAAGACUGACGCUCAGGUGCGAAAGCGUGGGGAGCAAACAGGAUUAGAUACCCUGGUAGUCCACGCCGUAAACGAUGUCUACUUGGAGGUUGUGCCCUUGAGGCGUGGCUUCCGGAGCUAACGCGUUAAGUAGACCGCCUGGGGAGUACGGCCGCAAGGUUAAAACUCAAAUGAAUUGACGGGGGCCCGCACAAGCGGUGGAGCAUGUGGUUUAAUUCGAUGCAACGCGAAGAACCUUACCUGGUCUUGACAUCCACAGAACUUUCCAGAGAUGGAUUGGUGCCUUCGGGAACUGUGAGACAGGUGCUGCAUGGCUGUCGUCAGCUCGUGUUGUGAAAUGUUGGGUUAAGUCCCGCAACGAGCGCAACCCUUAUCCUUUGUUGCCAGCGAUUAGGUCGGGAACUCAAAGGAGACUGCCAGUGAUAAACUGGAGGAAGGUGGGGAUGACGUCAAGUCAUCAUGGCCCUU